Molecule: long non-coding RNA, 214 nt
Filed under: Elaeis guineensis (African oil palm)
Lineage: Eukaryota; Viridiplantae; Streptophyta; Magnoliopsida; Arecales; Arecaceae
Description: long non-coding RNA (EGUI_LNC078861)
Source: RNAcentral
UCUCUUUUACCCUCAUCCCCAUGACCUUAGGCAACAUCACCGGCUAUUGGUUUCACCAAAAAUCUGAGAAAACAAAAUCCCCUAUUCCAUCUCUAUUUUGGCUACUUUUUAUUCUCUACUGGUUGUUUCCACCAUCGGUAAUCAUAAUCGAGGCCUUUGGCCUCUCCCUUGCAUUAGCCUUUGGGUAUGCUAGAGCCCCAGCCAUUGGCAAGCU